This 62-nucleotide microRNA precursor is filed under the name Pelobates cultripes (western spadefoot toad). Lineage: Eukaryota; Metazoa; Chordata; Amphibia; Anura; Pelobatidae. The record is from RNAcentral.
UAGUGCUGCAAUGUAAACAUUGCAGUUUCUCGAAAACUGCAAUGAUUUACAUUGCAGGACUA